AUGUGGGCUAGUGAUCCUACGGAUCGCCGUUCACUUUCUGCUUACUGUGUUUUUCUGGGUGGUUCUCUCAUUGCCUGGAAGACGAAGACACAUACUGCAAUUUCCCGUUCGAGCGCAGAGGCUGAGUUACAAGCUAUGGCUCUUACGACGGCAAAGGUGACUUGGUUACAAUGGUUACUGGAGGAUUUUGGUGUUUCUGUUACUACACCUACCAUCCUCUUGUCAGACAAUACAGAUGCUAUCAGUAUUGCGCGGGAUCCCGUGAAGCAUGAGCUCACCAAGCAUAUUGGUGUUGAUGCUUCUUAUGUGCGAGCUACUGUGCAGGAUCAUGUUAUUGCUCUUCAAUAUGUGCCUUCUGAGUUACAGCUAGCAGACUUUUUCACAAAGGCCCAGACUAGAGCGCAACAUGGAUUUCACCUCUCCAAACUCAGUGUUGUGGAUCCACAAUGA
Molecule: ribosomal RNA, 450 nt
Filed under: Triticum aestivum (bread wheat)
Lineage: Eukaryota; Viridiplantae; Streptophyta; Magnoliopsida; Poales; Poaceae
Description: partial small subunit ribosomal RNA
Source: RNAcentral